UGGGUUGCCGCCCCAGAUCACGUUGAUACGCGUAGCUUGCACGUCUCUCCGUUGCGUUCGCCUGUCUCUACGUCCACCCUUCGUCUGUUCUCUUCGUCCGCCCUUCGUCUGUCUGCCUCCGCUCUCGUCCUCCUCCGCCGCCAUGCACUCGUCAUUAGUCUCCGUCGCUGCCCUCCUCAUGGCCGUGGCACUGGCAGCAGGGCGCCCCGACGGUGCCACCAUCCUGGACUUCGACGGCGAUAACCACCACCACACACAGCAGGGAAGUGCAGGGAACGUUGUCACGGGGACGUACGGCUGGACGUCCCCCGAAGGCUACAACUUCCUGGUCAAGUACAUCGCCGACGAGAACGGCUUCCGCGUCGUCGAGAGCAACGCCGUCCCGAUCAACGCCGACGGCAUCUACGCGGACGGAAAGCAGGGCGCGUUCGAGUCGGACGAAUAUGAGAAUUGAGGAGGAUCGGCGUCAGGUCGUGGAGGUCGUGACGUCGUCACGGUGAGAGGUCACCUGGAGGAGCAGGCUGACCUGGCGCCGCCCGGUCCUCCUCGAGGCAAUAAAGCAGAAAGCCACAUCCAUGAAUGGAUAAUAAACGUGGGAGGCAUGCAAUGAGGCAAGCAAUCGUGCACGCACACCGAGCGGCCAGCAAGCAAAGAGGCGUGAAUUCGCAGGCGCACCGAAGCAAGAGCCUUGGCGUUGCCCGGUAUGGCAUGCACUCUUCUGUCCGCUGUCGCCCGAGCCUCACGGGAGACAAGCAAGAAAGUCGACGACACAGUAUAAAACCCUUUCGGAGUCGCUCUUAUGCCUUUGGGCGUGGGAGCUGAUUACUGCGCGACGUGGAUUCAGUGGCAUUACAAGAGCUAUUCAUGUUGUGGAUUCCUUUGAAAGUGAAAGAUUAUCAGUCUAGCUACCAAUUGUUCUAUCUAUAUAUCUUCCUAUAUGUGUAUCAAUGAAUCAAAUCUAUAUGCAUUUGUACAUAUGCAUAUGUAUAUACAUACACAUAAAUGCAUAUAUACAUACAUACAUACCUACACA
Molecule: unclassified non-coding RNA, 1033 nt
Filed under: Penaeus chinensis
Lineage: Eukaryota; Metazoa; Arthropoda; Malacostraca; Decapoda; Penaeidae
Description: cuticle protein CP14.6-like, transcript variant X1
Source: RNAcentral